AGUCGAGCGAAUCGAYGGGAGCUUGCUCCCUGAGAUUAGCGGCGGACGGGUGAGUAACACGUGGGCAACCUGCCUAUAAGACUGGGAUAACUUCGGGAAACCGGAGCUAAUACCGGAUACGUUCUUUUCUCGCAUGAGAGAAGAUGGAAAGACGGUUUACGCUGUCACUUAUAGAUGGGCCCGCGGCGCAUUAGCUAGUUGGUGAGGUAAUGGCUCACCAAGGCGACGAUGCGUAGCCGACCUGAGAGGGUGAUCGGCCACACUGGGACUGAGACACGGCCCAGACUCCUACGGGAGGCAGCAGUAGGGAAUCUUCCGCAAUGGACGAAAGUCUGACGGAGCAACGCCGCGUGAACGAAGAAGGCCUUCGGGUCGUAAAGUUCUGUUGUUAGGGAAGAACAAGUACCAGAGUAACUGCUGGUACCUUGACGGUACCUAACCAGAAAGCCACGGCUAACUACGUGCCAGCAGCCGCGGUAAUACGUAGGUGGCAAGCGUUGUCCGGAAUUAUUGGGCGUAAAGCGCGCGCAGGUGGUUCCUUAAGUCUGAUGUGAAAGCCCACGGCUCAACCGUGGAGGGUCAUUGGAAACUGGGGAACUUGAGUGCAGAAGAGGAAAGUGGAAUUCCAAGUGUAGCGGUGAAAUGCGUAGAGAUUUGGAGGAACACCAGUGGCGAAGGCGACUUUCUGGUCUGUAACUGACACUGAGGCGCGAAAGCGUG
This 720-nucleotide ribosomal RNA is filed under the name Bacillus sp. BA-117. RNAcentral's name for it is "bacterial SSU rRNA". It matches the Rfam family "Bacterial small subunit ribosomal RNA", at positions 60 to 763 of the family's 1533-position model. The record is from RNAcentral. Lineage: Bacteria; Bacillati; Bacillota; Bacilli; Caryophanales; Bacillaceae.